UGGCACCCACCCGUAGAUCCGACCUUGCGGGGCGCCGGCCACACACAAGCUCGAGUCUGUGGGUCUGUGUCGG
Sarcophilus harrisii (Tasmanian devil) is the source of this 73-nucleotide non-coding RNA. NCBI's taxonomy places the organism in Eukaryota, Metazoa, Chordata, Mammalia, Dasyuromorphia, Dasyuridae. The record is from Rfam.